ACGUAGGAUGCGAGCGUUAUCCGAAUUUACUGGGUGUAAAGCGCGCGCAGGCGGUUUAGCAAGUCGUGCGUGAAAGCGCUCCGGCUCAACCGGGCGAGGACGUGCGGAACAGCUGUACUGGAGGCAGGUAGAGGCGUGUGGAAUUCCGGGUGUAGUGGUGAAAUGCGUAGAGAUCCGGAGGAACACCAGUGGCGAAGGCGACGCGCUGGGCCUGGCCUGACGCUAAGACGCGAAAGCAUGGGGAGCGAACGG
This 252-nucleotide ribosomal RNA is filed under the name uncultured prokaryote. Its description in RNAcentral is "partial 16S ribosomal RNA". It matches the Rfam family "Bacterial small subunit ribosomal RNA", at positions 525 to 775 of the family's 1533-position model. The record is from RNAcentral.